GAUAAAGCGGAGGUAUUCGGGGAGACAGGUGGUGCAUGGUUGUCGUCAGCUCGUGUCGUGAGAUGUUGGGUUAAGUCCCGCAACGAGCGCAACCCCUAUUGCUAGUUACCAUCAUUAAGUUGGGGACUCUAGCGAGACUGCCAGUGAUAAACUGGAGGAAGGUGGGGAUGACGUCAAAUCAUCAUGCCCCUUAUGACCUGGGCUACAAACGUGAUACAAUGGCUGGAACAAAGGGAUGCGAAGCAGUGAUGUGGAGCGAAACCCAUAAAAACAGUCUCAGUUCGGAUUGAAGUCUGCAACUCGACUUCAUGAAGUCGGAAUCGCUAGUAAUCGCGGAUCAGAACGCCGCGGUGAAUACGUUCUCGGGGUUU
Molecule: ribosomal RNA, 371 nt
Filed under: uncultured Acholeplasma sp.
Lineage: Bacteria; Bacillati; Mycoplasmatota; Mollicutes; Acholeplasmatales; Acholeplasmataceae
Description: bacterial SSU rRNA
Rfam family: Bacterial small subunit ribosomal RNA
Source: RNAcentral